RNAcentral lists this ribosomal RNA (252 nucleotides) under uncultured bacterium. Its description in RNAcentral is "partial 16S ribosomal RNA". It matches the Rfam family "Bacterial small subunit ribosomal RNA", at positions 524 to 776 of the family's 1533-position model. The record is from RNAcentral.
UACGGGGGGGCAAGCGUUGUUCGGAAUUAUUGGGCGUAAAGAGCUCGUAGGCGGUUUGUCGCGUCUGCUGUGAAAACGCGAGGCUCAACCUCGCGCCUGCAGUGGGUACGGGCAGACUAGAGUGUGGUAGGGGAGAUUGGAAUUCCUGGUGUAGCGGUGGAAUGCGCAGAUAUCAGGAGGAACACCGAUGGCGAAGGCAGAUCUCUGGGCCGAUACUGACGCUGAGGAGCGAAAGCGUGGGGAGCGAACAGG